UACGAAGGGUGCAAGCGUUACUCGGAAUUACUGGGCGUAAAGCGUGCGUAGGUGGUUUGUUAAGUCUGAUGUGAAAGCCCUGGGCUCAACCUGGGAACUGCAUUGGAAACUGGCUUACUAGAGUGCGGUAGAGGGGUGUGGAAUUCCCGGUGUAGCAGUGAAAUGCGUAGAUAUCGGGAGAAACAUCUGUGGCGAAGGCGACACCCUGGACCAGCACUGACACUGAGGCACGAAAGCGUGGGGAGCAAACAGG
This 253-nucleotide ribosomal RNA is filed under the name uncultured bacterium. RNAcentral describes it as "partial 16S ribosomal RNA". It matches the Rfam family "Bacterial small subunit ribosomal RNA", at positions 524 to 776 of the family's 1533-position model. The record is from RNAcentral.